Molecule: small RNA, 1187 nt
Filed under: Pongo abelii (Sumatran orangutan)
Lineage: Eukaryota; Metazoa; Chordata; Mammalia; Primates; Hominidae
Description: retained intron
Source: RNAcentral
CUCUCCAGCCGCACUCCGACCCGGCGCAGCCACCCGGCCCCAGCUCGCAGGCCCCACUGCUGCGCCCUCUCGGGGACGCGAAUGCCCCGCGCCGGGCGGGCGCCCGCGGAGGGAGGUCUCGCUCCAGGGGCGCGGAGCUCCAGAUGCCUGCGCCCAAGGCCCCUCGCCUGGCGCCGGCUGGUCCCGAACUUCGGGACAUGGGCACCCAGGAAGGGGGCCGCGCGUGUUGGGAGGCCCGUCCUCUCGCCGCGACCCUCCAGGGCAGCCGGGGAACCCACCUGCGGAGCGGGAAGCCCAGGAACGCUCGAAGAGGUCGUGGGAGCCGGGCCCGCCCUCCGCGGGAGGGACCUCGGCGCGGGAACGCCGAGGAGGGGCCGCGCUUACACGUUGGUGCAGCGCCGGCUUCACCUGACCGCGAUUUUGAUUUCAGGGUGUGGCCUCAGGUAGGACGCGGCGGCGAACCCAGAGCGCGGGAGAAGUUGCCGAGGGUCCCUGGGGCCUUGGCCAGGAGCCCCUCUUCCCGAGGGGCGCCCUGCUGCUCAACUCUUUCUCUACACCUGCUUGGCCCCAGCUCCCGCCCGCCCUUCGCCUCCGGGCCCUGGCCUGGCCACAGCCGCGGGGACCUGCCUGAGGCUCCACGGCCCAGUGGCCGCCUCGCGGAGACCCGACUUGGAGAACCAGCUGCGCGCCGGCUGUGUGUAAUCACCUCGUUCACUGGCAUCGCAGAUGCACGCUCCAGAGCCGCAGGCCGACUCUCCCCCACCUGAGCGGGGCCGCGUGUGCCCACCCACACAUCCUGGAGAGCCCACGCGGGAGUCGGAAAACCUGUAACCUUGGAUGAUCUGUCCCAUGUGGACAGGGCCCCAAGACUGUGCUGGGGUAGCCCCUUGCGCAGGCAGGAAAGCGGGAUUUAAGGGAUUCCAGUUCCCUUGUCGGACCUUGCGCAGUCCUGAGUCCUGAGGACUUUCUAGCCGGAGAGUUCUAGACCCGCACCCCCAGAGCGGCUAGGGCCUGUUCCGGAGCCCCUCCGCGGGUGAUUUUGUUCCAGAGUCGGCAUCCUCUGCUUGUCCUCAGCAGUCCCUGCCUAAGAUCCGAAUGGCCAUUCCAAGGGGCUCACUCCUGGCUGCCCCUGUGCCAUGUUUCUUUUGGGGUACAGGGUGUUUUCUAUACUGGGGGAAGGGACAGGG